ACAGAGAAGCGGGAGGAGAGACCUAACAUUUCUUUUCCGUGUGAGUCCACAUCUCUUCCACACAGCAUGAGGUCCCGUUCCACUCUCGAGCCGCCGACCCUGCCCUGCCACAGGCCACCCGUCGCGUGGCGCGAAGCAGCCGUAGACACACGCCGGCGCGGCACUGCGCCAACUCGGGCAUCGCAGCACGGCCUCUGCCUCGAGCCCUCCCCACCCACCCGCCUUGCAGUGCCGCCUCACAGCCGCUCCCCAUUUGUGCCGGUGGCCGCGUGGUGCAUCUCCCGCGGUGGCGCAGGCUCCCUCCACCGGUGGGCGGCGAGGGCGGGGCGGGAUGUGCUCGAGUCGCGCUGGCGCCUCGUCGAUCGUAUGGAUGGUGCAGGCGUGCUCGCGGUCUCGGGUCGCUCCGACGCCACGCCGUCGAGGAUGUGGCCGUCGGCAUCGGUGGCGAUGAGGCGCCCUGACUUCGCCACGUCGCAGGCGCUCGGCCCUGUGACCGCCGGAAGUGGCUCUGGCACUUGGCAGGGAUAGAGGGACCGCCUGGCUUCCUCACACAGUGGGGGUGCUGGACCCUGAGAUGCCACGCACGGAGAGGUGUUUGCCCCCCCCAACACACGCACACACCUCUCAUCGGAUGUGAGCGAACUAACGAGAGUAAAAGGGGACGAUGCCGAUGCGUUAUGUGUGGCCACGAAGCACGCUAUGCCGGUGUGUAUGUCUACGCACAGGCCGGGUGGAUGUGUGUGGUGGUGGUAGGAAGGGGGGCGAGGGGUGCUCACACACACGCCAGAGAGAGAAAAGGUCACGCAUACGCACACACCAGCACGCGCGCAUUCCAUGCUUUCGUUGAUUUAGCUUUCAUUUUCUUUGUUGUUUCGUCUGUCUCGGCUCUCCUUUUCUCUACCCAUCUGCAUAUGCAUAUAUCAUGUUGAAG
Molecule: unclassified non-coding RNA, 931 nt
Filed under: Leishmania donovani
Lineage: Eukaryota; Euglenozoa; Kinetoplastea; Trypanosomatida; Trypanosomatidae
Description: gene:LdHU3.17.1270(CDS-product:hypothetical_prote in)
Source: RNAcentral